AAAACAUUAGCAUGGCCCCUACGCAAGGAUGACAUGCAAAUUUGUGAAGCAUUCCAUAUUUUU
RNAcentral lists this small nuclear RNA (63 nucleotides) under Amazona collaria (yellow-billed parrot). Lineage: Eukaryota; Metazoa; Chordata; Aves; Psittaciformes; Psittacidae. The record is from RNAcentral.